AUAGGACCCCUGGGUCCAACGGUCAUCGAGGAGUUGUUGUUCCACACUGGUGCACCAGAAUUGGUAGUCCAGAAGGGGGUGUUGUAACCACUUGAAGGUCGGUGCCUGUAAGGAUCCAUUGGAAGAGGAGAAGAAGCGAGAGACUCAAAGACAAGGUGGAGAAUCUGGAAGGAACAAAACGAUCAACGAAGAGAAAAGAUAGGAG
This 205-nucleotide unclassified non-coding RNA is filed under the name Hevea brasiliensis (rubber tree). Lineage: Eukaryota; Viridiplantae; Streptophyta; Magnoliopsida; Malpighiales; Euphorbiaceae. The record is from RNAcentral.